CAAAAAAUGAGCAGGCGUCAAAGCUAACGGCUCGUUAGGAUCCGAGCUGAGCGUACACAAUGGUCGAGAAUUUAAUAAAGCCUCUAUUUGAGUAAUAACCGUCGUAAAUUCUUCAUAAGUCAAAAUUUGGGUGCCAAUAACUUUAGUUAAAUGAGACUUCACACUUUUAAUGUUUGCCUCCCAGAUUCCUCCAAAGUGAGGUGCUGCUGGAGGAUUAAAUUUCCAUACUACAUUUCGUUUAAUCAAUUCAUCAUCAAUACUAGAAUGAUACUCUUGUGAGGUCACAAAUUUUGACAAAUCGUCUAGGGCAGUUUUAGCUCCAAUAAAAUUUGUACCACAAUCGGAAUACAAAACCGAGCAUGGACCACGACGGGAUAAAAAACGUUUAAAGGCAUUAAUAAAAGUCGCAGUGGAUAGGUCAGAAGCCACUUCUAGAUGUAAGGCUUUGGUAACUAAACAAAUAAAUAAGCAUAAAUAAGCUUUCUGGCUUUUUACACCUCUACGACGAGUCAGAGUGAUAUAGAAUGGUCCGGCAUAAUCUACACCACUGUGCAAAAAUGGUUUCGCUUCUGUAAUUCUAGGAGCGGGCAAAUCCGCCAUACAUGGGAAAGUUGCGCGAGGACGAAAUUUAAAGCAAAAAUUACAGUUGCGAAUGCGAUGUCUAACAACAUUUCGUGCAGCUAAAAUCCAAAAUUUCUGACGCAACAACGACAGUGUAAGAUGCGGACCAGUAUGUAAAUUACGUUGGUGAAAAUAGUCUAUUAAGAGAUCCACCAAGUGGUCUUUUUUGGGCAGCAAAAACGGAUGCUGCUGAUCAUAUUCUAAAUUUGAGUUUGAUAGACGUCCUCCUACUCUAAUAACUCCAUCUUUAAGAAACGGACAUAAGGCACGAAUUUUAGGCGAACAAGGUUUAUUUUGCUCUAACAAAGCUAAAUCUGAAGCAAAAUGUUCUCUUUGGACAAGUCUAACUAGCGUUAAUUCAGCGGUUUCUAAGUCUUUGAGUGUAAUAGGAUUUCCUUUUGGCAAUAUCUUAAGAAAUCUGAGAACAUAUACAACUGCAUUGCGCAAUUUACUAUACGAAGACGAUCUAUCUAUAAGUUGUCGUAAAGGGUUGACACAACGUGAGAAAGUGACGAGAACUAUCGGUUUCUCUUCGAGUGGAGGUUCGUCUGUAUUAGUUGAAGAGUUAAUAGGCCAUAACUGUUCGUCCAUAAAUAACCAACUAGGACCAGUUAGCCAAAUCGGGUGGUUUAAAAGGUGCGCCGGUGUUAGACCCCUAGAAAUUGGGUCGGCUGGGUUUUCCUUCCCAUCGACAUGAUACCAAUUAACCGACGGCACUAAUUCUUGAAUUUUUGCCACGCGAUUUGCUACAAAAGUGUGCCAACGAUGAGGAGAUGCGUUUAUCCAGUUAAGUACGACCGAAGAAUCAGUCAGAGCAACAAUGUUUUCUAUAAUUAAUCGCGAUUGGAAAGUGCUUUCUACAAAAUGGAUCAGUCUAGCUAAAAGAAGCGCAGCACAAAGCUCUAAUCUGGGUAUCGAAAGUGACUUUAACGGAGCAACUUUUGAUCUAGCGCAAAUGAUUCUAACAGUAGGUACCUUUUCUGGAACUUUUACAUACACGACCGCUCCAUAACCCUUUUCUGAUGCGUCUGCAAAUCCAACAAUUGUCACAGGUAAAUUACUACAAGUUCCUAAAUGACGCGGAAUUUCAAAGUUUUCCAAAAGAUGCAACUCUCCUUUUAAAAGACUCCAAAUUUUUUGUAUAUCAGCCGAUACAGGAUCGUCCCAACCAAGUUUUUGAACCCAAAUUUCCCGAAUCAAUAAUUUUGCAUAUAAGGUAACGGGAGCCAACAAUCCUAAAGGAUCCCAAAUGCGAGCAAUUAUUGACAAAAUAUUCCGUUUCGUACAUUCUAUGUCAGGAACACUAAUUUUAAAACCAAGCAAGUCGGUUUGCGGAUGCCACUGAAAACCUAAGACCUUCAAGGAAUCAUUGCUAAAUUCAACGGGCUGAAAGCAGCGUUCCGAUUCUAAAAUUUCUGACAAUAAUUCAUUAGAGUUUGUUGUCCAUUUGGUUAAGCUAAACCCCCCGGCCCUAAACAAACCAAUUAAAUCGCGAUACAACGCAAUAGCUUCUUCACUGGUAGGAACACUAGUUACAACAUCGUCCAUAUUCGUCCGAGGCAAGUUGCUUAACUGUACGAAGAGCUAAAAAUGGCGAGGCUUUGACUCCAAAAGAGACUACAUUGAUUUCGUAUGUUUGGAGAGGUUCAUUAAUCGAAAAUCGCCAGAGAAUUCUUUGAAAGCAUCGAUGAUCGGGAUUAAGCCAAAUUUGUCUAUACAUCUGACGUACGUCAGCGGUCAUGGCUACAGCAAAUAGUCUAAAAUUCAGUAGCAAAGAAACUAUAUCGGUUUGUAAUUUUUCACCAGUAUAUAAAACAUCGUUCAAAGAAA
Tribolium castaneum (red flour beetle) is the source of this 2451-nucleotide long non-coding RNA. RefSeq lists it as uncharacterized. NCBI's taxonomy places the organism in Eukaryota, Metazoa, Arthropoda, Insecta, Coleoptera, Tenebrionidae. The record is from RefSeq and is a predicted model, not a curated record. The transcript is spliced from 2 exons.